GGAAGUGUGACCGAGCUGGCCGAAGGUGCACGACUGGAAAUCGUGUGUGCCCUACAAAGGCACCAAGGGUUCAAAUCCCUUCGCUUCCGCCA
Molecule: transfer RNA, 92 nt
Filed under: Clostridiales bacterium
Lineage: Bacteria; Bacillati; Bacillota; Clostridia; Eubacteriales
Description: tRNA-Ser
Rfam family: tRNA
About the family: Transfer RNA (tRNA) molecules are approximately 80 nucleotides in length.
Source: RNAcentral